CAGUCUGAAGCCAGUAGAAACGUUCAUGUUUUAUGGCAUCACGGUGAAGGAAUGCAGCGUGGAAAGUGAAGUUAGUGAGCUGUGAACACGCCACAAGUUUGUAUCAGGACAGCCUAAUAAGAGUGGUUGGAAGCGACACAAGCGAAAAUGAGUUUAAUUCACUUAUUCACCAAUAGCGACGCCAUCUUGAAUCAUGAUGCAUUAUGGGUUAUCCAGGGUAAAAAUCCGAAUUCAAAAGCCUUUAAUGUCGUAUUGAGACACAAUACGAUAAUUUUUUUUCAUAAACACUUUCUUGAGGACAAUGAGGCAGUGUAAAUCAAUUUUAUGCGCACUUUGUUGAAAUUAUUUCCCUUUUUAGGCCUAACAAAGAUUUAAACUAUAGAUUUUAUCCUGAUUUUUUUUAUUUUUCCCAGCUUUUGUGUGUUUUCCUAGUUCUUCUAAAAAUUGUCUGUUAUUUUCAACUAUAAAAACGUGUGUUUUCGCCUACAUAUUUGAUUUACAGCCCUUCAAAAACGCUCAAUUACCCUGGAUCACUCAUAAUGAGCAGACGAGGCAACUAGUCGAGAAGUUGAUAGGUUUAUGAACGACCCAAACCAUCCCUGUCGCAGUGUUUUGCCAAAAUUAAUUAACAAUCGGUACUAUUUAAGGAACAUUGACCGGAAUCGCAAUAUAUCAUUCUUCUCAGGAACUGAAAGGCAUAAACAUUCUUUUUCAGGAAGAGCUUGUAAAUAUGUAUAAAUAAGUUUAACUUAUUGGAAGAACUUAUUAGUUUAAAGAACUUAUUAGUUUUAACUUCUUAGUUAGUUUUCUAAGUUAUCUUACAACAAUUUGUAAUAUAAAGACAUACCCACAGCAUAUAUACUUUCUUAAACAAGUAAUUGUAAGUCCAUUGUACUUUUUUAUCUUAAGAUGGAUGAAUAAAGC
Molecule: non-coding RNA, 924 nt
Organism: Paramuricea clavata
Lineage: Eukaryota; Metazoa; Cnidaria; Anthozoa; Malacalcyonacea; Plexauridae
Source: the annotation of a GenBank genome assembly